CACGUAGGGCGCAAGCGUUGUCCGGAAUUAUUGGGCGUAAAGAGCUCGUAGGCGGUUCGUCACGUCGGCUGUGAAAACCUGAGGCUCAACCUCAGGCCUGCAGUCGAUACGGGCGGACUUGAGUACUGCAGGGGAGACUGGAAUUCCUGGUGUAGCGGUGAAAUGCGCAGAUAUCAGGAGGAACACCGGUGGCGAAGGCGGGUCUCUGGGCCGAUACUGACGCUGAGGAGCGAAAGCGUGGGGAGCGAACAGG
This 253-nucleotide ribosomal RNA is filed under the name uncultured bacterium. RNAcentral describes it as "partial 16S ribosomal RNA". It matches the Rfam family "Bacterial small subunit ribosomal RNA", at positions 524 to 776 of the family's 1533-position model. The record is from RNAcentral.